GGGUAACCUGCCUGUAAGAUUGGGAUAACUCCGGGAAACCGGAGCUAAUACCGGAUAGUUCCUUGAACCGCAUGGUUCAAGGAUGAAAGACGGUUUCGGCUGUCACUUACAGAUGGACCCGCGGCGCAUUAGCUAGUUGGUGAGGUAACGGCUCACCAAGGCGACGAUGCGUAGCCGACCUGAGAGGGUGAUCGGCCACACUGGGACUGAGACACGGCCCAGACUCCUACGGGAGGCAGCAGUAGGGAAUCUUCCGCAAUGGACGAAAGUCUGACGGAGCAACGCCGCGUGAGUGAUGAAGGUUUUCGGAUCGUAAAGCUCUGUUGUUAGGGAAGAACAAGUGCAAGAGUAACUGCUUGCACCUUGACGGUACCUAACCAGAAAGCCACGGCUAACUACGUGCCAGCAGCCGCGGUAAUACGUAGGUGGCAAGCGUUGUCCGGAAUUAUUGGGCGUAAAGGGCUCGCAGGCGGUUUCUUAAGUCUGAUGUGAAAGCCCCCGGCUCAACCGGGGAGGGUCAUUGGAAACUGGGAAACUUGAGUGCAGAAGAGGAGAGUGGAAUUCCACGU
RNAcentral lists this ribosomal RNA (569 nucleotides) under uncultured bacterium. RNAcentral's name for it is "bacterial SSU rRNA". It matches the Rfam family "Bacterial small subunit ribosomal RNA", at positions 119 to 674 of the family's 1533-position model. The record is from RNAcentral.